RNAcentral lists this small RNA (4337 nucleotides) under Pongo abelii (Sumatran orangutan). RNAcentral's name for it is "retained intron". The record is from RNAcentral. Lineage: Eukaryota; Metazoa; Chordata; Mammalia; Primates; Hominidae.
CACCUCGGACGCUGCACCGGACACUGCCCCCCACAGGGCUGGACACUCCAACGGACACUACUUCCCAGCUCCGGACAUUGCUCCCUCCUCUCCCGGGGCCCUGGACGCUUUUCCCCCUCCCCCCUCCGGGGGCCCAGACACUGAGCCCCCCUCAGCGUCUGGCUAGCGUCCCCUUGCACCCCAGCCCAGGACACUGCCUCCUCCCUGUCCUCUUCUCCCUUCUGCUCCUCCCACCUCAUCUUUCCCCUGCUCGGGUCGGAGCCCCGCCAGUUCCUCCGACCCCCUGCUGCUCGGCCGCGGCUGCCCGCGCCCCCAUCCCCAGCUCCUCGCCCGGAUGCCUCUCCCCGGGGGACUGUGGUGGCUUCUCUGCUGCCGUCGAGGCUUCACUCUUCUGCACCGGGACUACGGGGACGGCGAGCUUAGCGGGGACGGGGACGAGGACGAGGACGAGGAAACCUUUGAGCUGCGGACCCCGAGUCCAGCUGGCGGCGGGAGGGGUCCCCUGGAAGUGACGCUGACUCAGCCAGUGAGGAGCGGGCCUGUCUCCAACAGGCUGCAGAGCUGGGAGGAGACUUGGAGCCUCAUCCCGGAGAAAGGGCUGCCGGAGGAUGACCCGGACACCGUUGUGAAAGGUUGGCUGUACCGGGAGCCCCGCGGAGGAGGGGCGCGGCCCUGGCUGCCCCCGCGCCGAGCCUGGUUUGUGCUCACGCGGGACUCCCUGGAUCAGUUCAGCAGCAGCGGGAAAGGGGCGCGGCGUCUCGGGAGCCUCGUGCUCACCAGCCUGUGCUCGGUGACCGGCCCAGAGCGCAGGCGUAAGGAGACAGGUCUGUGGUCAGUGACUGUGUCUGGUCGGAAACACAGUGUCCGCCUCUGCUCCCCACGCCAGGCAGAGGCUGAGCGCUGGGGGGUGGCAUUGCGGGAAGUGAUCGCCUCCAAGGCACCCCUGGAGACCCCCACCCAGCUACUGCUCAGGGACAUACAGGAAAGUUGCGGGGACCCAGAGGCCGUUGCCCUCAUUUACCUGAGGAACCCGAUUCUGAGACACACUAGUGGAGCCUUGUACGCCCCGCUCCUGCCCCUGCCCUAUGGAGUCAGUGCCCCAGGUCCGGGCUAUGCACCCCUGCGCGAGGAGGCGGUGCGGCUGUUCUUGGCGCUGCAGGCGCUGGAGGGGGCGCGGCGCCCCGGGCCCUUGAUGCAGGGUGUGCUCCAAACCUGCCGGGACUUGCCCGCGCUCCGGGAUGAACUCUUCCUGCAGCUGGCUAAGCAGACCUCGGGCCCUGCAGGUCCCCCCGGGCUCCCGGCUACCCAAGACCCUGCGGCCCUGCGGUACUGGCAACUCCUCACCUGCAUGAGCUGCACCUUCCGACCUGGGGGAGCUGUGCGGGGGCACCUCCUGGGGCACUUGGAGAGGACCGAGCAGGCACUCCCGGACUCGGAACUGGCGGAAUAUGCGCGCUUCAUCCGGAAAGCACUGGGCCGGACGCGCGGCAGAGAGCUGGUGCCCUCGCUGGCGGAGAUUUCCGCGUUGAGCCAACGGCAGGAGCUGCUGUGUACCGUGCACUGUCCGGGGGCUGGUGCCUGUGCUGUGGCCAUCGACUCCCACACCACGGCGGGGGAGGUGGCUCGAGAGCUGGUGGGGCGGCUGGGCUUGGCGCGGAGCCGCAACGCAUUCGCGCUGUACGAGCAGCGAGGGGCCCAGGAGCGAGCCCUGGCUGGGGGGACCCUCGUGGCCGACGUGCUCACCAGCUUGGCGGCGGAGGAAGCUGGGUUGGAGGACUCGCCCGACUCCGGGUGGAGACUAUGUCUGCGUCUUCACGGACCUCUGCACCCUGAGGGGCUGUCCCCAGACGGUCACGAACUGCCUUUCCUCUUUGAGCAGGCUCACGCUCUGCUGCUGCGGGGCCGGCCGCCCCCACCCGACGACACGCUGCGCGCCCUGGCGGCGCUGCGCCUGCAGAGCCUGCACCGGGACUUCUCUCCGCGGGUGCCCCUGCCCCGCCUGGACCGCCUGCUCCCGCCCCCGGCCCCGCCGCGCGAAGACCCGCCCCGCCCGACCCCCAGGCCGCCCCCUUCCGCUGCCCUGCUGGCCGGGGCGCUCUGGACCCCGGGCCUGGCCAAGAGGCGGGCGGAGCGGGCCCGGCGCGGCGGGGCCGGCCGCACUGCGGGAAGCAUUGCCCGCGAGGGAGGAGGCGGCGCCGGCACGGCAGCUGCCGUGCUGGGCGGCUGGAAGCGGCUACGGGGCAUGGGCCGAGCUGAGGCCAUGGCCACCUACCUGGCCCUGGCGGCGCAGUGUCCGGGGUUCGGCGCUGCUCGGUAUGACGUUCUGGAGCUGAGCACGGUGAGGGGGAGAAGGGAGAAGGGGACUCUGGCGGCCCAAGCCCCACACCUUUGCCCCAGAGCCACAGGUCCCACGGAGGGUCACGUAAUUCCCCACAUCCAGAACAGCUACCCAUCUCAAACCCCAGGAGUCACCAGCCCUUGGGCCCUCACAUCCCCGGAGCCUUAGCCCCCUCCACACACGUGCUGUGAAUCAGAGGGGGAUCAGGAAACUCCUGCUCACAGACACCCAUCUCCCCCUACCAAAAAUAACGCUGGGCUCCUUCCACCCUGACUCUGCCCCUCUGUGUGCAGGAGCCUGGUGGGGGUGCUCCACAGAAGCUGUGCCUGGGCUUGGGAGCCAAGGCCAUGUCCCUCUCCCGGCCAGGGGAGACAGAGCCCAUCCACAGUGUCAGCUAUGGCCAUGUGGCCGCCUGCCAGCUAAUGGGCCCCCACACCCUGGCCUUGAGGGUGGGAGAGAGCCAGCUUCUCCUGCAGAGCCCCCAGGUGAGUGAGAAGAGGAGUUGUGGGAGGAGGAGAGAAGGGAAGCGAUGUCAGGAAGCAUUUACAGAACACCAAACAUGGGCCAGGUAGAGCUCUAAGCACUGGGGAUCCAGCAGUGAUCACAGACAAGCUGAAGGAGCUUACACUAGAGUGGAGUCAGACAAUAAACAAGGAAUCCCAGGCUACGAAGACAGUGAGAAAUGCUACAGAGGAGUGAUGUGACAGGAAGCCAGGGAAGGGUUCUCAAAAAGGGUGCCAUUUAAGCUAGCCAGGGAAGACCUGGGGGAACAGCAUUCCAGGUAGAAAGAAUUGUAAGGUGGCCGGGUGCAGUGGCUCAUGCCUGUAAUCCCAGCACUUUGGGAGGCCGAGGGGGGCGGAUCACGAGGUCAGGAGAUCGAGCCCAUCCUGACCAACAUGGCAAAACCGCAUCUCUACUAAAAAUACAAAAAUUAGCUGGGGGUGGUGGCACACACCUAUAGUCCCAGCUACUCGGGAAGCUGAGGUAGGAGAAUUGCUUGAACCCGGCAGGCGGAGGUUGCAGUGAGCCAAGGCACUUCAGCCUGGCAACAGAGCAAGACUCCGUCUCAACAACAACAACAACAACAAAAAAUGUUAGAAGAGCAGAAAGAACCAAGUAUAACUGGCGCACAUAGAAGUGAAGGAGAGAGGCCGGCCGUGGUGGCUUACGCCUGUAAUCCCAGCACUUUGGGAGGCCGAGACGGGUGGAUCACGAGGUCAGGAGAUCAAGACCAUCUUGGCUAACACGGUGAAACCCCGUUUCUACUAAAAUUACAAAAAAUUAGCCGGUCGUGUUGGCGGGCGCCUGUAGUCCCAGCUACUCGGGAGGCUGAGGCAGGAGAAUGGCAUGAACCCGGGAGGCGGAGCUUGUAGUGAGCUGAGAUCGCGCCACUGUACUCCAACCUGGGGGACACAGCGAGACUCUAUCUCAAAAAAAAAAAAAAAAGAAAUGAAGGAGAGAGAGGAGAGAGUGGUGAUAAGGAAGGAAAGGUUGCAGGGCCAGAGCACAUAGGACCCUGGUGGGGAAGCUGGAGCCCUAGAGCCUGGAGAAAGGAUGAGAAAAAGAAGAGAACCUGGCAGCCCCUGUUGCACACUGACCUCUGCCGUCUCUUAGGUGGAAGAGAUCAUGCAGCUGGUGAAUGCCUACUUGGCCAACCCCUCCCCCGAGAGGCCCUGCAGCAGCUCUUCUCCUCCAUGCCAAGACCUGCCAGACACCUCCCCUCCCAGCCAGCGCCCGGGCCUGGACGAGCCCCAGGGACAGUCUGGCUGCUUGGGGCAGCUGCAGGACUGAGCCUGCCAAGAGGUCACAACUUCCCUCCUGCCUGCAGCCUGGGCCAGGACUGCUCUGAGAUUUGAGGGAAACAUGGACCCUUUUGGCCCUGCAGGGACAGGGCACAUCCCACACCCAAGGGCUACAAUGGGUGUGGGCAAUUUUCUAGUUUGUUUCUUAAUUUAUUUGUAGAAGAGAAGCAAAAAAAAAAAAAGUUUCUUAUUUACAC